AUGGUUAAGUUAGAAAGGGCGCACGGUGAAUGCCUUGGCACUAGGAGCCGAUGAAGGACGGGACUAACACCGAUAUGCUUCGGGGAGCUGUAAGUGAGCUUUGAUCCGGAGAUUUCCGAAUGGGGAAACCCACUGUUCGUAAUGGAACAGUAUCUUUAUCUGAAUACAUAGGAUAUUGAAGGCAGACCCGGGGAACUGAAACAUCUAAGUACCCGGAGGAAGAGAAAGCAAAUGCGAUUUCCUGAGUAGCGGCGAGCGAAACGGAAUUAGCCCAAACCAAGAGGCUUGCCUCUUGGGGUUGUAGGACACUCUAUACGGAGUUACAAAGGAACGAAGUAAAUGAAGCGACCUGGAAAGGUCCGUCGAAGAAGGUAACAACCCUGUAGUUGAAACUUCGUUCCCUCUUGAGUGGAUCCUGAGUACGGCGGAACACGUGAAAUUCCGUCGGAAGCUGGGAGGACCAUCUCCCAAGGCUAAAUACUACCUAGUGACCGAUAGUGAACCAGUACCGUGAGGGAAAGGUGAAAAGCACCCCGGAAGGGGAGUGAAAGAGAUCCUGAAACCGUGUGCCUACAAGUAGUCAGAGCCCGUUAACGGGUGAUGGCGUGCCUUUUGUAGAAUGAACCGGCGAGUUACGAUCCCAUGCAAGGUUAAGCUGAUAAGGCGGAGCCGUAGCGAAAGCGAGUCUGAAUAGGGCGUUUAGUAUGUGGUUGUAGACCCGAAACCAGGUGAUCUACCCAUGUCCAGGGUGAAGUUCAGGUAACACUGAAUGGAGGCCCGAACCCACGCACGUUGAAAAGUGCGGGGAUGAGGUGUGGGUAGCGGAGAAAUUCCAAUCGAACCUGGAGAUAGCUGGUUCUCUCCGAAAUAGCUUUAGGGCUAGCCUCAUGUUGUGAGAGUCUUGGAGGUAGAGCACUGAUUGGACUAGGGGCCCCCAACGGGUUACCGAAUUCAGUCAAACUCCGAAUGCCAAAGACUUAUCCAUGGGAGUCAGACUGCGAGUGAUAAGAUCCGUAGUCAAAAGGGAAACAGCCCAGACCACCAGCUAAGGUCCCCAAGUAUACGUUAAGUGGAAAAGGAUGUGGAGUUGCUUAGACAACCAGGAUGUUGGCUUAGAAGCAGCCACCAUUUAAAGAGUGCGUAAUAGCUCACUGGUCGAGUGACUCUGCGCCGAAAAUGUACCGGGGCUAAACGUAUCACCGAAGCUGUGGAUUGACAUCUUAGAUGUCAGUGGUAGGAGAGCGUUCUAAGUGCUGUGAAGUCAGACCGUAAGGACUGGUGGAGCGCUUAGAAGUGAGAAUGCCGGUAUGAGUAGCGAAAGACAAGUGAGAAUCUUGUCCACCGAAUGCCUAAGGUUUCCUGAGGAAGGCUCGUCCGCUCAGGGUUAGUCGGGACCUAAGCCGAGGCUGAAAAGCGUAGGCGAUGGCCAACAGGUUGAUAUUCCUGUACCACCUCCCCGCCGUUUGAGUAAUGGGGGGACGCAGUAGGAUAGGGUAAGCGCGCUGCUGGAUAUGCGCGUUCAAGCAGUUAGGCUGAUGAGUAGGCAAAUCCGCUCAUCAUAAAGGCUGAGCUGUGAUGACGAGGGAAUUAUAGUACCGAAGUUCCUGAUUCCACACUGCCAAGAAAAGCCUCUAGCGAGGCGGGAGGUGCCCGUACCGCAAACCGACACAGGUAGGCGAGGAGAGAAUCCUAAGGUGAUCGAGAGAACUCUCGUUAAGGAACUCGGCAAAAUGACCCCGUAACUUCGGGAGAAGGGGUGCUCUGGUAGGGUGUAUAGCCCGAGAGAGCCGCAGUGAAUAGGCCCAGGCGACUGUUUAGCAAAAACACAGGUCUCUGCGAAGCCGCAAGGCGAAGUAUAGGGGCUGACGCCUGCCCGGUGCUGGAAGGUUAAGAGGAGGGGUUAUCCUUUGGGAGAAGCUCUGAAUCGAAGCCCCAGUAAACGGCGGCCGUAACUAUAACGGUCCUAAGGUAGCGAAAUUCCUUGUCGGGUAAGUUCCGACCCGCACGAAAGGCGUAACGAUCUGGGCACUGUCUCAACGAGAGACUCGGUGAAAUUAUAGUACCUGUGAAGAUGCAGGUUACCCGCGACAGGACGGAAAGACCCCGUGGAGCUUUACUGUAGCCUGAUAUUGAAUUUUGGUACAGCUUGUACAGGAUAGGUAGGAGCCUGAGAAGCCGGAGCGCUAGCUUCGGUGGAGGCGUCGGUGGGAUACUACCCUGGCUGUAUUGAAAUUCUAACCCGCGGCCCUGAUCGGGCCGGGAGACAGUGUCAGGUGGGCAGUUUGACUGGGGCGGUCGCCUCCUAAAAUGUAACGGAGGCGCCCAAAGGUUCCCUCAGAAUGGUUGGAAAUCAUUCGUAGAGUGUAAAGGCACAAGGGAGCUUGACUGCGAGACCUACAAGUCGAGCAGGGACGAAAGUCGGGCUUAGUGAUCCGGUGGUUCCGCAUGGAAGGGCCAUCGCUCAACGGAUAAAAGCUACCCCGGGGAUAACAGGCUUAUCUCCCCCAAGAGUCCACAUCGACGGGGAGGUUUGGCACCUCGAUGUCGGCUCAUCGCAUCCUGGGGCUGUAGUCGGUCCCAAGGGUUGGGCUGUUCGCCCAUUAAAGCGGUACGCGAGCUGGGUUCAGAACGUCGUGAGACAGUUCGGUCCCUAUCCGUCGUGGGCGUAGGAAAUUUGAGAGGAGCUGUCCUUAGUACGAGAGGACCGGGAUGGACACACCGCUGGUGUACCAGUUGUCUUGCCAAAGGCAUCGCUGGGUAGCUAUGUGUGGACGGGAUAAGUGCUGAAAGCAUCUAAGCAUGAAGCCCCCCUCAAGAUGAGAUUUCCCAUAGCGCAAGCUAGUAAGAUCCCUGAAAGAUGAUCAGGUUGAUAGGUCAGAGGUGGAAGCGUGGCGACAUGUGUAGCUGACUGAUACUAAUCGAUCGAGGACUUAACCAAAUUUUA
Molecule: ribosomal RNA, 2944 nt
Filed under: Priestia megaterium
Lineage: Bacteria; Bacillati; Bacillota; Bacilli; Caryophanales; Bacillaceae
Description: bacterial LSU rRNA
Rfam family: Bacterial large subunit ribosomal RNA
Source: RNAcentral